This 455-nucleotide long non-coding RNA is filed under the name Ananas comosus (pineapple). RNAcentral's name for it is "long non-coding RNA (ACOM_LNC037728)". Lineage: Eukaryota; Viridiplantae; Streptophyta; Magnoliopsida; Poales; Bromeliaceae. The record is from RNAcentral.
AAUAAGAGUCAUCUUAGGCUUCGUACGUACGGUGAGAACUACGAUAGAAAAAUAUUUUAUUUAUUUCCGUAAAUAAUAUUACAUUCCGCAUAUUACGAUGAGUCGGUUAUAGUAUAUUUUCUACGGUUCCACCGGAGAACGCAAAGCAUAUCUCUAUAUGCUUUUUUUCUAACUUCAUUUUAUUUAACAGCGUAAGAUAGAUCUCAAUAUCAAUCUAAGCCUUACUAAAUUCACGACGUUCAUAACAUAGAUGGAUUGUGUGAUUCAAGCAUCAGAUGAGACUCACGUUGAGUACCUAACCACUUAUUUUACUUUUGAAAAAGCAGAUCAUUCUUUAUAAAUUCGUGAAGCACAUGUUAGCAACAAGGAUAAGUGCGUGUUAGUUUUGCCGAAUGUGAAGUUACGAAUGAAAUCGAUUUUUAGUUGAACUAGAGUUCAAGUGAAUAUUUUUUCUU